RNAcentral lists this ribosomal RNA (486 nucleotides) under uncultured bacterium. RNAcentral's name for it is "partial 16S ribosomal RNA". It matches the Rfam family "Bacterial small subunit ribosomal RNA", at positions 30 to 507 of the family's 1533-position model. The record is from RNAcentral.
AUUGAACGCUGGCGGCAUGCCUUACACAUGCAAGUCGAACGGCAGCACGGGUUCUUGCUCCUGAUGGCGAGUGGCGAACGCGGGAGUAUUACAUGUGAACAUGCCCCGUAGUGGGGGGUAGCCCCGCGAAAGCCGGAUUAAUACUACCUCCGAACAACGGUUAACAGCGGGGGAACUUCUGAACUAGCCCUUUGCGGCUCGCAGAUGUCUUAUUAGCUAGUUGGAGGGGUAAAGGCCUACAAAGGCGAAGAUCAGUAGCUGGACUGAGAGGACGACCAGCCACACUGGAACGGAGACACGGCCCAGACUCCUACGGGAGGCAGCGGUGGGGAAUUUUGGACAUUGGGGGAAGGCCGGAUCCAGCAAUGCCGCGUGGGUGAAGAGGGCCUUCGGGUUGUAAAGCACUUUUGUCGGGAAAGAAAUCCGUGAGUCUAAUACACUCGUGGGAUGACGGUACCGAAAGAAUAAGCACCGGCUAACUACGUG